Molecule: ribosomal RNA, 253 nt
Filed under: uncultured bacterium
Lineage: Bacteria
Description: partial 16S ribosomal RNA
Rfam family: Bacterial small subunit ribosomal RNA
Source: RNAcentral
UACGGAGGAUGCAAGCGUUAUCCGGAUUCAUUGGGUUUAAAGGGUGCGUAGGUGGGUCCAUAAGUCAGUGGUGAAAUCCGGCAGCUCAACUGUCGCACUGCCUCUGAUACUGUGGGUCUUGAGUUAAGUUGAAGCAGGCGGAAUAUGACAUGUAGCGGUGAAAUGCAUAGAUAUGUCAUAGAACACCGAUAGCGAAGGCAGCCUGCUAAACUUACACUGACACUGAUGCACGAAAGCGUGGGUAGCGAACAGG